Molecule: non-coding RNA, 242 nt
Organism: Hydra vulgaris (swiftwater hydra)
Lineage: Eukaryota; Metazoa; Cnidaria; Hydrozoa; Anthoathecata; Hydridae
Source: RefSeq, a predicted model, not a curated record
ACGUUGGUAAUAAUAUUGAAACAAACGUUGGUGAUAAUAUUGAAACAAUGUCUCGUGAAAGUAUAGCUGGUAGGGCUGUGUUUUAUAUUUUAUAUGUUUUGUAUGGAGAAAUAUGUGCAAUAGGUGGAAAAAUUAAUUAAUAAAUAUGGCACUUUUAAACUGGUUGCAUUAUUGCCCUAUAUUUUUAUUAAAAUGCAAAAUGUUGCAUGUUUAACCCUUAUUAAUUAGCUCUCUCUUUUUUU